RNAcentral lists this long non-coding RNA (441 nucleotides) under Mytilus galloprovincialis (Mediterranean mussel). Lineage: Eukaryota; Metazoa; Mollusca; Bivalvia; Mytilida; Mytilidae. The record is from RNAcentral.
UUCUUUUCGAAAGAAAGACAUAACUUUUUUGUUAUAAAAGAUAAACACAAAUUGUUUUUUGUUAAAUAAUCGUUAAUUUCUGUAUUUUAUAAGUAUCUUAAAAAAAAUAUGCAUUUUUUUAUUUAGAAAUAACUCAUAUCUAUCAAAUGUUCAUGAAUUGAGGAAAAACGUCAUAUUUUGCUGCAUGUUUAUCAACAUUAAAAAAAAUCCUCUAUUUACAGUUUUAUAAAUUUGGGUCACAUAUCUCCUGCAAAAUGAAACAAAUUGCCGUUUUGAAAAAUAGGGGUCCAUGAACUCGUUUUCAAGAUAAAUCAGUUUGAAUGAUAAAAAUCAGUCGAAAAAUGCAUCUUUUCCCGAUAUGUCACAGUUUGACGGCACGAAAAUAACAUUUUACGUUAGCAACGUCAUUAUCUCCCCUGUAACUGUAUCGUAUGCCCUUAA